RNAcentral lists this transfer RNA (61 nucleotides) under Qipengyuania flava. It matches the Rfam family "tRNA", at positions 6 to 65 of the family's 71-position model. Rfam says of the family: Transfer RNA (tRNA) molecules are approximately 80 nucleotides in length. Their secondary structure includes four short double-helical elements and three loops (D, anti-codon, and T loops). The record is from RNAcentral. Lineage: Bacteria; Pseudomonadati; Pseudomonadota; Alphaproteobacteria; Sphingomonadales; Erythrobacteraceae. RNAcentral also lists the same sequence under 26 other names.
GAUAGCUCAGCGGUAGAGUAGGUGACUGUUAAUCACUUGGUCGUUGGUUCGAAUCCAACUC